This 84-nucleotide non-coding RNA is filed under the name Stenotrophomonas maltophilia. Lineage: Bacteria; Pseudomonadati; Pseudomonadota; Gammaproteobacteria; Lysobacterales; Lysobacteraceae. The record is from RNAcentral.
AUCUACGGCGGGCGGUGCGUGGGGGCCUUGUGCCCGCCGGUUCAUCGACUCCGGUAUUGGAACCACGCAUCGUCCGCCACCCUC